This is an RNA transcript of Penaeus monodon (black tiger shrimp), 538 nucleotides long. RefSeq lists it as uncharacterized. The transcript is spliced from 5 exons. The record is from RefSeq and is a predicted model, not a curated record. NCBI's taxonomy places the organism in Eukaryota, Metazoa, Arthropoda, Malacostraca, Decapoda, Penaeidae.
GUUUUACAUAAGAGUGACAAGAUAAUGCACCGUAACUCAAGUUUAAAUGUAGUAUCUCCAGGACCAGAUUUAGGACUUGGGGGAAGGCCCAUUGCACAGGCUGCAUUCCUUCUCUGCAUUCCAACCAACCAAUCCUAUAUACCAGGCCCCGAGUAUCACUGGAAAUCUAGAGAUAUAACUUUAUAUACAUUACCCAGCAUAGUCAGAAAUUACACUCAGGAAAUAUUGUCCUUUUGGUUUUCUGCAUUGUUUUUUUUUAUCUUUCAGGGCAGCAAGCGGGAAGGCACCAAGAGAGGAAGGAAACCUGGACGCAAAGCCAAGUCUGAUAUGAAGGCCAAACUAGAACGGAGUCGGCAGAGUGCUAGAGAAUGCCGUGCACGUAAAAAGCUGCGAUACCAAUAUUUAGAAGAACUUGUUGCAAAUCGUGAGAAGGCUGUGUUUGCACUUCACAGAGAAUUAGAUCAGUAUCGUCAGUGGGCAAAAGAAAUAGAUGAAGGAAAAUCCCAGAAGGUUUUCAGAAGUUAAUUGAAGAAGAAAG